This 369-nucleotide ribosomal RNA is filed under the name uncultured Glomeromycotina. RNAcentral's name for it is "LSU rRNA". The record is from RNAcentral. Lineage: Eukaryota; Fungi; Glomeromycota.
UUGAAAGGGAAACGAUUGAAGUCAGUCAUGCUAGUGAAAAAUCAGUUUGACGGGUUUUGAGUUCUUGAGUAGAGGCAGGGUCAAACCGUUUCUCUUUUGGACUUGGGAUUUGCUAGAUGUACUUUUUCUUUGGCAGGUCAACGUCGGUUUCGGGGGUUGUAAAAUACUUGGGGGAAAGUAGCUCUGCUUCGGGAGAGUGUUAUAGACCCUGGGAGAUGCAGCCUGUGGGAUCGAGGAUUGCAGCAAAUGCCUUUUGGCUUGUCGCCUGUUCCUGGGUGUUACCUGUCUUGUGACAACAUUCUUGCCACCGGGGAGUACUAAUGCCUACUGUUUAGAGCGAUCGAAAAUUUCGUUAAGGAUGUUGACGUA